GACGAACGCUGGCGGCGUGCUUAACACAUGCAAGUCGAACGGAAAGGCCCUGCUUUUGUUGGUUGCUCGAGUGUCGAACGGGUGAGUAACACGUGAGUAACCUGCCCUUGACUUUGGGAUAACUUCAGUAAACUGGGUCUAAUACCGGAUAUGAGCUCCUGCUGCAUGUUGGGGGUUUGAAAGUUUCGGCGGUUGGGGAUGGACUCGCGGCUUAUCAGCUUGUUGGUGGGGUAGUGGCUUACCAAGGCUUUGACGGGUAGCCGGACUGAGAGGGUGACCGGCCACAGUGGGACUGAGAUACGGCCAAGACUCAUACGGGAGGCAGCAGUGGGGAAUAGUGCAAGAUGGGCGGAAGCAGGAAGCAGCAACGCCGCGUGCGGGAUGACGGCCGUAGGGUUGUAAACCGCUUGCGCCUGUGAAGAAGAGUGAGUGACGGUAAUGGGUAAAGAAGCAACGGCUAACUACGUG
This 468-nucleotide ribosomal RNA is filed under the name uncultured bacterium. RNAcentral describes it as "partial 16S ribosomal RNA". It matches the Rfam family "Bacterial small subunit ribosomal RNA", at positions 28 to 507 of the family's 1533-position model. The record is from RNAcentral.